RNAcentral lists this ribosomal RNA (457 nucleotides) under uncultured bacterium. RNAcentral's name for it is "partial 16S ribosomal RNA". It matches the Rfam family "Bacterial small subunit ribosomal RNA", at positions 338 to 795 of the family's 1533-position model. The record is from RNAcentral.
CCUACGGGGGGCAGCAGUAGGGAAUUUUCGUCAAUGGGCGCAAGCCUGAACGAGCGAUGCCGCGUGAGUGAAGAAGGCCUUCGGGUCGUAAAGCUCUGUUGCGGGGGAAAAAAGGCAGCAUCAGGAAAUGGGUGCUGACUGAUGGUGCCCCGCCAGAAAGUCACGGCUAACUACGUGCCAGCAGCCGCGGUAAUACGUAGGUGGCGAGCGUUAUCCGGAAUGAUUGGGCGUAAAGGGUGCGCAGGCGGUCCUGCAAGUCUGGAGUGAAACGCAUGAGCUCAACUCAUGCAUGGCUUUGGAAACUGGAGUACUGGAGAGGCAGACGGAAUUCCUAGUGUAGCGGUGAAAUGCGUAGAUAUUAGGAGGAACACCAGUGGCGAAGGCGGUCUGCUGGACAGCAACUGACGCUGAGGCGCGAAAGCGUGGGGAGCAAACAGGAUUAGAUACCCUUGUAGUC